UAGAUACCCUGGUAGUCCACACUGUAAACGAUGAGUGCUAGGUGUCGGGGGUCAAACCUCGGUGCCGCAGCUAACGCAUUAAGCACUCCGCCUGGGGAGUACGUUCGCAAGAAUGAAACUCAAAGGAAUUGACGGGGACCCGCACAAGCAGCGGAGCAUGUGGUUUAAUUCGAAGCAACGCGAAGAACCUUACCGGGGCUUGACAUCUAUCUGCAAUCCUCAGAGAUGGGGAAUUUCUUCGGAACGGAUA
RNAcentral lists this ribosomal RNA (250 nucleotides) under uncultured bacterium. Its description in RNAcentral is "partial 16S ribosomal RNA". It matches the Rfam family "Bacterial small subunit ribosomal RNA", at positions 779 to 1032 of the family's 1533-position model. The record is from RNAcentral.